UGCCAGCAGCCGCGGUAAUACGGAGGGGGUUAGCGUUGUUCGGAAUUACUGGGCGUAAAGCGUACGUAGGCGGACUAGUUAGUCAGAGGUGAAAUCCCGGGGCUCAACCCCGGAACUGCCUCCAAAACUAUCAGUCUAGAGUUCGAGAGAGGUGAGUGGAAUUCCAAGUGUAGAGGUGAAAUUCGUAGAUAUUUGGAGGAACACCAGUGGCGAAGGCGGCUCACUGGCUCGAUACUGACGCUGAGGUGCGAAAGUGUGGGGAGCAAACAGGAUUAGAUA
This 279-nucleotide ribosomal RNA is filed under the name uncultured bacterium. RNAcentral describes it as "partial 16S ribosomal RNA". It matches the Rfam family "Bacterial small subunit ribosomal RNA", at positions 506 to 784 of the family's 1533-position model. The record is from RNAcentral.